RNAcentral lists this ribosomal RNA (207 nucleotides) under uncultured bacterium. RNAcentral describes it as "partial 16S ribosomal RNA". It matches the Rfam family "Bacterial small subunit ribosomal RNA", at positions 568 to 774 of the family's 1533-position model. The record is from RNAcentral.
CUCGUAGGCGGUUCGUCGCGCCCGGUGUGAAAGUCCAUCGCUUAACGGUGGAUCUGCGCCGGGUACGGGCGGGCUGGAGUGCGGUAGGGGAGACUGGAAUUCCCGGUGUAACGGUGGAACGUGUAGAUAUCGGGAAGAACACCGAUGGCGAAGGCAGGUCUCUGGGCCGUCACUGACGCUGAGGAGCGAAAGCGUGGGGAGCGAACA